RNAcentral lists this ribosomal RNA (2343 nucleotides) under human gut metagenome. RNAcentral describes it as "bacterial LSU rRNA". It matches the Rfam family "Bacterial large subunit ribosomal RNA", at positions 3 to 2436 of the family's 2925-position model. The record is from RNAcentral.
UCAAGCGAACAAGGGCGCAGGGCGAAUGCCUUGGCACUGGGAGCCGAUGAAAGACGUGAUAAGCUGCGAUAAGCUUCGGGGAGCUGCAAAUAAGCAUUGAUCCGGAGAUUUCUGAAUGAGGAAACUCACCUGGGUUCAUACUCAGGUACGUUAUACUGAACUUAAAAAUAGGUAUAUCGAGGGAACCGCCUGAACUGAAACAUCUAAGUAGGGCGAGGAAGAGACAUCAAACGAGAUUCCGUAAGUAGUGGCGAGCGAACGCGGAAGAGGGCAAACCGUGAGUAGAAAUACUUGCGGGGUACGGACUGCUUUUAGGACUUAAUCUGUUAACCGAACGGCAUGGGAAGGCCGGUCAGAGAGUGUGAGAACCACGUAGGUGAAAACGACAAGAGCUGAGCAAGUUCCAGAGUACGGCCAGACACGUGAAACCUGGUCGGAAGAUGGGGGGACCACCCUCCAACCCUAAAUACUACCCAGUGACCGAUAGCGUAUAGUACUGUGAAGGAAAGGUGAAAAGCACCCCGGGAGGGGAGUGAAAAAGAACCUGAAACCCUGUGCCUACAAGCACCUAGAGCACGUCAAUGUGUGAUAGGGUACUUUUUGUAGAACGGUCCGGCGAGCGAUUGUAUGCAGCAAGGUUAAGGACUUAAGGUCUGGAGCCGAAGCGAAAGCGAGUUUGAAAAGGGCGUUAAGUUGCAUACAAUGGGCCCGAAACCGGGUGACCUACCCAUGGUCAGGUUGAAGUGGAAGUAAAAUUCCAUGGAGGACCGAACCGACCUCCGUUGAAAAGGCGGCGGAUGAACUGUGGGUAGCGGAGAAAUUCCAAUCGAACCCGGAGAUAGCUGGUUCUCCCCGAAAUAGUUUUAGGACUAGCCUCAAGUUAGAUACCUGGAGGUAAAGCACUGAAUAGCCUAGCGGCCGAGAGGUUAGCGAAGCUUAUCAAACUCAGAAUGCCAGAGUAUUGAUGCUUGGGAGUCAGACAGUGUCAGAUAAAUGUCAUUGUCAAAAGGGAAACAGCCCAGAUCUACAGCUAAGGUCCCAAAGUCAGGUUAAGUGGAAAACGAUGUGAAGAUACGCAGACAACCAGGAUGUUGGCUCAGAAGCAGCCACUCAUUCAAAGAGUGCGUAAUAGCUCACUGGUCGAGCGUCUUUGCGCGGAGAAUUUAACGGGGCUAAACCUGACACCGAAGCUUAGGCAAUACAGCAAUGUAUUGGGUAGGGGAGCGUUGUAUACGCGGUGAAACAGUAGCGCAAGCGGCUGUGGAGUGUAUAGAAGUGAGAAUGCCGGAAUGAGUAGCGCGAAUGCAGUGAGAAUCUGCAUGGCCGAAAGCCUCAGGUUUCUGGAGGAAGGUUCGUCCGCUCCAGGUUAGUCGGGAGCUAAGGUGAGGCCUAACGGCGUAGCCGAUGCACAGACGGUAGAGAUUCCGUCACCACCAAAAGAGUUAAGCACAGGGACACAUUUGAAGUCUCGGAGCCGGGUGUUGGUUCCGGUAGCGAUCGAGGGAAGUUAGUACCGAAGUCCGGGAUGGAAGAUGGCGAGAAAAGCUGUGUGUAUUUCUGCGGUGCCCGUACCGCAAACCGACACAGGUAGGUAGGAAGAAGAUUCUAAGGCCAACGGGAGAAGGGUUGUUAAGGAACUCGGCAAAUUGACCCCGUAACUUCGGGAGAAGGGGUGCUCCAGAGAUGGAGCCGCAGAGAAUCGGCCCAAGCAACUGUUUACCAAAAACACAGGUUUGUGCUAAAUCGAAAGAUGACGUAUACGAGCUGACGCCUGCCCGGUGCUGGAAGGUUAAGAGGAGAUGUGCAAGCAUUGAAUCGAAGCCCCAGUGAACGGCGGCCGUAACUAUAACGGUCCUAAGGUAGCGAAAUUCCUUGUCAGGUAAGUUCUGACCCGCAUGAAAGGCGUAAUGAUUUGGGCACUGUCUCAACAGCCCGCCCGGCGAAAUUGUAGUACCGGUGAAGAUGCCGGUUACCCGCGACAAGACGGAAAGACCCCAUGGAGCUUUACUGUAGCCUAAUAUUGGGUUUCGAUGUUGCAUGCACAGGAUAGAUGGGACACAGGGAAACAAGUGCUUUGGCAUUUGUGGAGUGGCCGUUGGGAUACCAUCCUUGCGAUAUUGGAAUUCUAACCUGCGCCUUUGAAUCAAGGCGGGGGACAUUGUUAGGUGGGCAGUUUGACUGGGGCGGUCGCCUCCUAAAGAGUAACGGAGGCGUUCAAAGGUUCGCUCAGCUUGAACGGAAAUCAAGCAAAAGAGUGCAAACGCAGAAGCGAGCCUAACUGCGAGACUGACGGGUCGAGCAGUAACGAAAGUUGGAGUUAGUGAUCCGGUGGUAUGUGAGUGG